Molecule: non-coding RNA, 289 nt
Organism: Cavia porcellus (domestic guinea pig)
Lineage: Eukaryota; Metazoa; Chordata; Mammalia; Rodentia; Caviidae
Rfam family: Metazoan signal recognition particle RNA
About the family: The signal recognition particle (SRP) is a universally conserved ribonucleoprotein. It is involved in the co-translational targeting of proteins to membranes.
Source: Rfam
GCCGGGUGUGGUGGCGUGUGCCUGUAGUCCCAGCUACUCGGGAAGCUGAGGUGGGAGGAUCGCUUGAGCCAAGGAGUUCUGGGCUGAAGUGCCAGGUGUCUGCACUAAGUUCGGCAUCAAUAUGGUGACCUCCCGGGAGCGGGGGACCACCAGGUUGCCUUAGGAGGGGUGAACCGGCCCAGGUCGGAAACGGAGCAGGUCAAAACUCCCGUGCUGAUCAGUAGUGGGAUCGUGCCUGUGAAUAGCCACUGCACUCCAGCCUGGACAGUAUAGUGAGACCCUGUCUCUA